RNAcentral lists this long non-coding RNA (511 nucleotides) under Mus pahari (shrew mouse). RNAcentral describes it as "lncRNA (MGP_PahariEiJ_G0004145.1)". Lineage: Eukaryota; Metazoa; Chordata; Mammalia; Rodentia; Muridae. The record is from RNAcentral.
GCACUGUGGGGGCAGCUGACUCUCCUCAUAGUAUCCUGGUGGCCUCUCUUCUCCCAAGCCUUGAAUUUGCCCCGGAGCGCAGGCUUCUGGGUAACUUGACAGCCUGAAUCUAAGGCUCACCCAGAUCUGGAGAGGCCCUUCUUGAAAUGUUUUGUUAUACACAACAAAAUGGGAUCCACAAAUGGAGAUUCAAGACUGGACUUCUCCCUCCCUUCCCCUCUCCCUCUUAGCUGAGCAUUGCCUGGAACAAUACUGAGAAAUCACAUGUUUCUGUCAGAGUCUCAGAGGUUAUCCUGAACUUUUGAUCCUCCUGUCUCAGCCUUCAAGUACUGAGAUUACAGGCAGGCACUACCAUGUUCAGUUUCUGUGGUGCUGGGCUGAGGUAACCUAGCGAGACAGCUCUAAAAUGCUAAAAUUCAAAUUGGCUUUUAUUCCAUAGCCAGUGAAAAUCACUUUAAAAAUGAAGGCAAAAUCAAGCACUGUGGGAGCUCUAAAGCAGAGAGGCCUGGGU